Molecule: non-coding RNA, 72 nt
Organism: Ictidomys tridecemlineatus (thirteen-lined ground squirrel)
Lineage: Eukaryota; Metazoa; Chordata; Mammalia; Rodentia; Sciuridae
Source: Rfam
UGUGGUGUAGCUUAAGCCGUAGCGCGCUCGCCUCGCAUGCGUGUGGCCUGGGUUCGACCCUCAGCACCACAU